AGUGAACGCUGGCGGUAGGCCUAACACAUGCAAGUCGAACGGCAGCACAGUAAGAGCUUGCUCUUACGGGUGGCGAGUGGCGGACGGGUGAGGAAUACAUCGGAAUCUACUUUUUCGUGGGGGAUAACGUAGGGAAACUUACGCUAAUACCGCAUACGACCUACGGGUGAAAGCAGGGGAUCUUCGGACCUUGCGCGAUUGAAUGAGCCGAUGUCGGAUUAGCUAGUUGGCGGGGUAAAGGCCCACCAAGGCGACGAUCCGUAGCUGGUCUGAGAGGAUGAUCAGCCACACUGGAACUGAGACACGGUCCAGACUCCUACGGGCGGCAGCAGUGGGGAAUAUUGGACAAUGGGCGCAAGCCUGAUCCAGCCAUACCGCGUGGGUGAAGAAGGCCUUCGGGUUGUAAAGCCCUUUUGUUGGGAAAGAAAAGCAGCAGGUUAAUCCCCCGCUGUUCUGCCGGUACCCAAAGAAUAAGCACCGGCUAACUUCGUG
Molecule: ribosomal RNA, 492 nt
Filed under: uncultured bacterium
Lineage: Bacteria
Description: partial 16S ribosomal RNA
Rfam family: Bacterial small subunit ribosomal RNA
Source: RNAcentral